CCUACGGGAGGCAGCAGUGGGGAAUAUUGGGCAAUGGGCGCAAGCCUGACCCAGCAACGCCGCGUGAAGGAAGAAGGCUUUCGGGUUGUAAACUUCUUUUCUCAGGGACGAAGCAAGUGACGGUACCUGAGGAAUAAGCCACGGCUAACUACGUGCCAGCCGCCGCGGUAAUACGUAGGUGGCAAGCGUUAUCCGGAUUUACUGGGUGUAAAGGGCGGGUAGGCGGGACUGCAAGUCAGAUGUGAAAACCAUGGGCUCAACCUAUGGCCUGCAUUUGAAACUGUAGUUCUGGAGUACUGGAGAGGCAGACGGAAUUCCUGGUGUAGCGGUGAAAUGCGUAGAUAUUAGGAGGAACACCAGUGGCGAAGGCGGUCUGCUAGACAGCAACUGACGCUGAGGCGCGAAAGCGUGGGGAGCAAACAGGAUUAGAUACCCCGGUAGUC
This 443-nucleotide ribosomal RNA is filed under the name uncultured bacterium. RNAcentral describes it as "partial 16S ribosomal RNA". It matches the Rfam family "Bacterial small subunit ribosomal RNA", at positions 338 to 795 of the family's 1533-position model. The record is from RNAcentral.